Molecule: ribosomal RNA, 568 nt
Filed under: Salmonella enterica
Lineage: Bacteria; Pseudomonadati; Pseudomonadota; Gammaproteobacteria; Enterobacterales; Enterobacteriaceae
Description: bacterial SSU rRNA
Rfam family: Bacterial small subunit ribosomal RNA
Source: RNAcentral
GCUGCUUCGCUGACGAGUGGCGGACGGGUGAGUAAUGUCUGGGAAACUGCCUGAUGGAGGGGGAUAACUACUGGAAACGGUGGCUAAUACCGCAUAACGUCGCAAGACCAAAGAGGGGGACCUUCGGGCCUCUUGCCAUCAGAUGUGCCCAGAUGGGAUUAGCUUGUUGGUGAGGUAACGGCUCACCAAGGCGACGAUCCCUAGCUGGUCUGAGAGGAUGACCAGCCACACUGGAACUGAGACACGGUCCAGACUCCUACGGGAGGCAGCAGUGGGGAAUAUUGCACAAUGGGCGCAAGCCUGAUGCAGCCAUGCCGCGUGUAUGAAGAAGGCCUUCGGGUUGUAAAGUACUUUCAGCGGGGAGGAAGGUGUUGUGGUUAAUAACCGCAGCAAUUGACGUUACCCGCAGAAGAAGCACCGGCUAACUCCGUGCCAGCAGCCGCGGUAAUACGGAGGGUGCAAGCGUUAAUCGGAAUUACUGGGCGUAAAGCGCACGCAGGCGGUCUGUCAAGUCGGAUGUGAAAUCCCCGGGCUCAACCUGGGAACUGCAUUCGAAACUGGCAGGCUU